AUACCUACGGGGCGCAGCAGUGGGGAAUAUUGCACAAUGGGGGAAACCCUGAUGCAGCAACGCCGCGUGAGUGAAGAAGUAUUUCGGUAUGUAAAGCUCUAUCAGCAGGGAAGAAGAUGACGGUACCUGAGUAAGAAGCCCCGGCUAACUACGUGCCAGCAGCCGCGGUAAUACGUAGGGGGCAAGCGUUAUCCGGAUUUACUGGGUGUAAAGGGAGCGUAGACGGCGUGCCAAGUCUGAUGUGAAAGGCCGGGGCUCAACCCCGGGACUGCAUUGGAAACUGGCAUGCUGGAGUGCCGGAGGGG
This 305-nucleotide ribosomal RNA is filed under the name uncultured bacterium. RNAcentral describes it as "bacterial SSU rRNA". It matches the Rfam family "Bacterial small subunit ribosomal RNA", at positions 335 to 657 of the family's 1533-position model. The record is from RNAcentral.